AACGAACGCUGGCGGCAUGCCUAACACAUGCAAGUCGAACGGGACCUUCGGGUCUAGUGGCGCACGGGUGCGUAACGCGUGGGAACCUGCCUUUAGGUUCGGAAUAACUCAGAGAAAUUUGAGCUAAUACCGGAUGAUGUCUUCGGACCAAAGAUUUAUCGCCUUUAGAUGGGCCCGCGUUGGAUUAGCUAGUUGGUGGGGUAAAGGCCUACCAAGGCGACGAUCCAUAGCUGGUCUGAGAGGAUGAUCAGCCACACUGGGACUGAGACACGGCCCAGACUCCUACGGGAGGCAGCAGUGGGGAAUAUUGGACAAUGGGCGAAAGCCUGAUCCAGCAAUGCCGCGUGAGUGAUGAAGGCCUUAGGGUUGUAAAGCUCUUUUACCCGAGAUGAUAAUGACAGUAUCGGGAGAAUAAGCUCCGACUAACUCCGUG
RNAcentral lists this ribosomal RNA (433 nucleotides) under uncultured bacterium. RNAcentral's name for it is "partial 16S ribosomal RNA". It matches the Rfam family "Bacterial small subunit ribosomal RNA", at positions 29 to 507 of the family's 1533-position model. The record is from RNAcentral.